This is a non-coding RNA of Chiloscyllium plagiosum (whitespotted bambooshark), 1086 nucleotides long. NCBI's taxonomy places the organism in Eukaryota, Metazoa, Chordata, Chondrichthyes, Orectolobiformes, Hemiscylliidae. The record is from RefSeq and is a predicted model, not a curated record.
UGUUCAAAACCAAAAUGUGUCUUUUUGAGAAUAAUGAUUGCUAUGCACUGACAAUGAUGGGCCACAAAUAUAGAAGAUUGGAAAGGAUUGUUUGAUGCUGAUGCUGGGGAAGUCAUUGCUAUUUGUGAGAACCCUCACUGUUUUUUUUUACUUUAAUUGAUUUGGUUUGGAACUGUGAACUUUGAACAGAGAGCUGAAGAAGGAUUAUGCAUGCCAAAGCUACAGGCCAGAGUUUGAUUGCUCUCCCGCUACCCUCCCAUUAUCAACUUACUGAAAGUUUUGAGAAAAGGAUCUCGGUUAUAACAAAUUUUGCUGAGUGUCCCUGGUGUCCUGGAGCCUAGAGACCUCCAAACCGCUGAUGGCUGUGGGUGCAACCUUCUCUGUCUGAGCUGAUGGAGGCAUUCACUUCUUCCCUUGGCAGAGGAGAGAUGUGCAGCUGAGCACCUCUGGAGUGGUCUGAAAGGUCAAUUCAUGGGUUCUUGUCUUCAUCUCAAGUAGUGCACAAUGGUACCUUUCUUACCUCCUGAAGGGAAAGUCCACCUGGAGAGAGAUCAGGGUCCCUUCGCCCCUCUCACUAAACCAACGAAUGAAUAUAUCUGUGGUUCAUUAUGAUGGAGUAAAGCUCCAAAGUAUAUAUCUGGCAAAUAUUGUUUUUUAUUUCGACCAGGCUCUCCACAAUGACUGCCAUCUGAUCCAUGGGCUAGUCAUGCAAUCACAAAGCAGAGCCAUAAUAUCAGGAAAAACAAUGGAAAACUCCUUUGUCCUUCACUCCAAUCUGUGCAUGAGCUUAGGCACUUCUGUCAGAUCUUCUACUUAUUACCUCUGUGUCUCCAACUGCUCAUUAAAGGCUUGUGUCCAUGGCUUACCAUCUAUACUCGACUCAGCAGGCACCUCCAGCAAUCCUCCAAGUGUUAGAACCUUUGGCUGUUUUCUCAUCCUCUUGGUUCUUUUCUCAUCUUUUAGACAAAAUCCUGUACCAAUACUGAGCUGACCAGAACUUGACUAGAUAAGUUACCCACUGAAGUGAAAGUUCUGCAUUGAUGGAGGUGGGGUGGAAUGACUUGUUGCUGUUUCCUUUGAAGAUUU